This 86-nucleotide non-coding RNA is filed under the name Helianthus annuus (common sunflower). The record is from RNAcentral. Lineage: Eukaryota; Viridiplantae; Streptophyta; Magnoliopsida; Asterales; Asteraceae.
UUUAGCCGGAUGAAAGGAAACUUUCACGUCCGAUUUUUAGGGGGGGGGGGGUUUAGAAAAUCCUUGUUUUAAUUAUUCGACCCAUU